RNAcentral lists this ribosomal RNA (335 nucleotides) under uncultured bacterium. Its description in RNAcentral is "bacterial SSU rRNA". It matches the Rfam family "Bacterial small subunit ribosomal RNA", at positions 1047 to 1382 of the family's 1533-position model. The record is from RNAcentral.
GGCUGUCGUCAGCUCGUGUCGUGAGAUGUUGGGUUAAGUCCCGCAACGAGCGCAACCCCUGUGGUUAGUUGCCAGCAAGUAGCGUUGGGCACUCUAGCCAGACUGCCGGUGAUAAUCGGAGGAAGGUGGGGACGACGUCAAAUCAUCAUGCCCUUUAUGUCCUGGGCUACACACGUACUACAAUGGCCGUUACAACGGGAAGCGAAGGAGCAAUCCGGAGCAAAUCCCUUAAAGGCGGUCCCAGUUCAGAUUGUGGGCUGAAACUCGCCCACAUGAAGGCGGAAUUGCUAGUAAUUGCAGAUCAGCAUGCUGCAGUGAAUACGUUCCCGGGCCUU